AUUGAACGCUGGCGGCAGGCCUAACACAUGCAAGUCGAACGAGUGGCGGACGGGUGAGUAAUGUCUGGGAAACUGCCCGAUGGAGGGGGCUAACUACUGGAAACGGUAGCUAAUACCGCAUACCAUCGGAUGUGCCCAGAUGGGAUUAGCUUGUAGGUGGGGUAACGGCUCACCUAGGCGACGAUCCCUAGCUGGUUUGAGAGGAUGACCAGCAACACUGGAACUGAGACACGGUCCAGACUCCGACGGGAAGCAGCAGUGGGGAAUAUUGCACAAGGGGCGCAAGCCUGAUGCAGCCAUGCCGCUUGUAUGAAGAAGGCCUUCAGGUUGUAAAGUACUUUCAGAGAGGAGGCGUUACGCGCAGAAGAAGCACCGGCUAACUCCGUGCCAGCCGCCGCGGUAAUAC
Molecule: ribosomal RNA, 406 nt
Filed under: uncultured bacterium
Lineage: Bacteria
Description: partial 16S ribosomal RNA
Rfam family: Bacterial small subunit ribosomal RNA
Source: RNAcentral